GGCUCUUGUUAAAAUGCAGAUUCUGAUGCAGCAGGUCUAGGGUGGAGGCUGAGAUUCUGCAUUUUUAAAAAGUUC
This 75-nucleotide microRNA precursor is filed under the name Tursiops truncatus (common bottlenose dolphin). RNAcentral's name for it is "miRNA (ENSTTRG00000024573.1)". The record is from RNAcentral. Lineage: Eukaryota; Metazoa; Chordata; Mammalia; Artiodactyla; Delphinidae.